This 513-nucleotide ribosomal RNA is filed under the name uncultured bacterium. RNAcentral's name for it is "partial 16S ribosomal RNA". It matches the Rfam family "Bacterial small subunit ribosomal RNA", at positions 28 to 523 of the family's 1533-position model. The record is from RNAcentral.
GACGAAUGCUGGCGGCGUGCCUAAUACGUGCAAGUUGAGCGAUGAAGAUUGGUGCUUGCACCAAUUUGAAGAGCAGCGAACGGGUGAGUAACGCGUGGGGAAACUGCCUUUGAGCGGGGGACAACAUUUGGAAACGAAUGCUAAUACCGCAUAACAACUUUAAACAUAAGUUUUAAGUUUGAAAGAUGCAAUUGCAUCACUCAAAGAUGAUCCCGCGCUGUAUUAGCUAGUUGGUGAGGUAAAGGCUCACCAAGGCGAUGAUACAUAGCCGACCUGAGAGGGUGAUCGGCCACAUUGGGACUGAGACACGGCCCAAACUCCUACGGGAGGCAGCAGUAGGGAAUCUUCGGCAAUGGACGAAAGUCUGACCGAGCAACGCCGCGUGAGUGAAGAAGGUUUUCGGAUCGUAAAACUCUGUUGGUAGAGAAGAACGUUGGUGAGAGUGGAAAGCUCAUCAAGUGACGGUAACUACCCAGAAAGGGACGGCUAACUACGUGCCAGCAGCCGCCGUAA